CCAAUAGCGUAUAUUAAAGUUGUUGCAGUUAAAAAGCUCGUAGUUGAAUUUCGGGGUCAGUAGAUUGGUCGUGCCACUGGUAUGCACUGGUCUUACUGGCUCCUCCUUCCUGAUGAACCGUAAUGCCAUUAAUUUGGUGUUGCGGGGAGACUGGACUGUUACUUUGAAAAAAUUAGAGUGUUUAAAGCAGGCUAACGCUUGAAUACAUUAGCAUGGAAUAAUGAAAUAGGACGUUCGAUCUUAUUUUGUUGGUUUCUAAGAUUGACGUAAUGAUUAAUAGGGAUAGUUGGGGGCAUUAGUAUUCAAUUGUCAGAGGUGAAAUUCUUGGAUUUAUUGAAGACUAACUACUGCGAAAGCAUUUGCCAAGGAUGUUUUCAUUAAUCAAGAACGAAAGUUAGGGGAUCGAAGACGAUCAGAUACCGUCGUAGUCUUAACCAUAAACUAUGCCGACUAGGGAUCGGAUGAUGUUAAUUUUUUAAUGACUCAUUCGGCGCCUUACG
RNAcentral lists this ribosomal RNA (500 nucleotides) under uncultured Glomeromycotina. Its description in RNAcentral is "partial small subunit ribosomal RNA". It matches the Rfam family "Eukaryotic small subunit ribosomal RNA", at positions 591 to 1092 of the family's 1831-position model. Lineage: Eukaryota; Fungi; Glomeromycota. The record is from RNAcentral.